CUCUGGGUGGCACAGAUGGUUAGUGCACUUGGCUGCAAACUAAAAGUCUAGAGGUUAGAGUCCACUCACAGGCA
RNAcentral lists this transfer RNA (74 nucleotides) under Loxodonta africana (African savanna elephant). It matches the Rfam family "tRNA". Rfam says of the family: Transfer RNA (tRNA) molecules are approximately 80 nucleotides in length. Their secondary structure includes four short double-helical elements and three loops (D, anti-codon, and T loops). Lineage: Eukaryota; Metazoa; Chordata; Mammalia; Proboscidea; Elephantidae. The record is from Rfam by way of RNAcentral.